CCUACGGGAGGCAGCAGUGAGGAAUAUUGGUCAAUGGCCGAGAGUCUGAACCAGCCAAGUCGCGUGAGGGAAGACGGCCCUACGGGUUGUAAACCUCUUUUGUCGGGGGGCAAAGCGAGUCACGUGUGACUCAUUGAGAGUACCCGACGAAAAAGCAUCGGCUAACUCCGUGCCAGCAGCCGCGGUAAUACGGAGGAUGCGAGCGUUAUCCGGAUUUAUUGGGUUUAAAGGGUGCGCAGGCGGAGGUGCAAGUCCGCGGUCAAAUUGCGGGGCUCAACCCCGUACUGCCGUUGAAACUGCAGGCCUGGAGAGCGGGAGAGGUAGGCGGAAUGCGUGGUGUAGCGGUGAAAUGCAUAGAGAUCACGCAGAACUCCGAUUGCGAAGGCAGCAUACCGGGGCGCAACUGACGCUCAUGCACGAAAGCGUGGAUAUCGAACAGGAUUAGAUACCCUGGUAGUC
RNAcentral lists this ribosomal RNA (459 nucleotides) under uncultured bacterium. Its description in RNAcentral is "partial 16S ribosomal RNA". It matches the Rfam family "Bacterial small subunit ribosomal RNA", at positions 338 to 795 of the family's 1533-position model. The record is from RNAcentral.